ACUUGUGGUCAAAUCUCUGUGUCAAAGCUGGAUAUUGUCAGGUCUCAGAAGCUAAGCAGGACCGGGCCAGGUUAGUACUUGGAUGAGAGAACACUGGGAAGUCAAGGUGCCACAGUGA
Molecule: ribosomal RNA, 118 nt
Filed under: Periophthalmus magnuspinnatus
Lineage: Eukaryota; Metazoa; Chordata; Actinopteri; Gobiiformes; Gobiidae
Source: RNAcentral